RNAcentral lists this ribosomal RNA (484 nucleotides) under uncultured bacterium. RNAcentral describes it as "partial 16S ribosomal RNA". It matches the Rfam family "Bacterial small subunit ribosomal RNA", at positions 29 to 507 of the family's 1533-position model. The record is from RNAcentral.
AUUGAACGCUGGCGGCAUGCUUUACACAUGCAAGUCGAACGGCAGCGCGGGCUUCGGCCUGGCGGCGAGUGGCGAACGGGCGAGUAAUGCAUCGGAACGUGCCCAGUAGUGGGGGAUAGCCCGGCGAAAGCCGGAUUAAUACCGCAUACGACCUGAGGGUGAAAGCGGGGGACCGAAAGACCUCGCGCUAUUGGAGCGGCCGAUGUCGGAUUAGCUAGUUGGUGGGGUAAAGGCUUACCAAGGCGACGAUCCGUAGCUGGUCUGAGAGGACGACCAGCCACACUGGGACUGAGACACGGCCCAGACUCCUACGGGAGGCAGCAGUGGGGAAUUUUGGACAAUGGGGGCAACCCUGAUCCAGCCAUGCCGCGUGCGGGAAGAAGGCCUUCGGGUUGUAAACCGCUUUUGUUCGGGAAGAAAUCCUCUGGGCUAAUACCCCGGGGGGAUGACGGUACCGGAAGAAUAAGCACCGGCUAACUACGUG